UAAAAUAACAGGACAAUCAUGGCAGCACUCAAGUUCACAGCUGUUAUUGUCACUUAAUUUACUGUGAUUGUCUGAAACCAUUUCUGCUUUGAAUGACUUGAGGAUACUUUCACACUGCCCUAAAUAUAGCAUAGGCCUAUGAGAUCAUCCACGGAGGGAUCAGAAGCAGAGCUGGAGGAGACUGUGGUGGAGACGUUCAGCACUUGAGGAAGAAGUCGUUGCAGGCCACAGUCAGCGCACCCAUGAGGAUGAUGAACUCGGUGAAGUCCACCUCGCCGUCAUUAUUGGAAUCCAGGUCGUUCAUCACUCGCUCCACCGCAUCUUUAUCUUGAGCGUUCUGCAUGAA
Long non-coding RNA from Onychostoma macrolepis, 346 nucleotides. RefSeq lists it as uncharacterized. The transcript has 3 exons. Lineage: Eukaryota; Metazoa; Chordata; Actinopteri; Cypriniformes; Cyprinidae. The record is from RefSeq and is a predicted model, not a curated record.